GUAGAGUUAGCUGUGCAACGCUUCUUGGUCUCUCAUCUUCAUGGACUCUGUCUUACAUCUUCAUGGAUCUUUGCUUUCUGAGAGAGGCACAACCGAGGACUUCUAGUAUCCUGGUUGGUCCUGGCCCAUCCUGCUCACUCCUGCAGAUUUGGCUAAAGCCUGGCUGUCUCUGCUAGGCCAUGCCACAGCUGCUGAUUCGGGUUGCUAUCCCAACUCUACCGAACUGGACUGCUGGUGUAUCCAUGAAAUAUUUGCAAGUGGAUCGAGCUGCUGCUGCUGACCUGUAAACUGAUCUGCUGAUUUCCUGACAAUGAAGAUGGGAUUUGGUCCAAAGAACCAUUUCCAAACAAGUCCGCUCACCCUGUAUCCUUUCUUUGCCACUACCUCUGGUGGGUGGUGGGCUAGAAGGGAGGUUAAAGCAUUUAAGAACUAUCAUUAAAAGUAGGUUUGAAAAAAAUUUAAACUACACCCUUGAAUAAUGAUUGAUGUGGGAAAGCCCAUCACACUAUGAGCAGUGUAACCCCUGGGCAGAUAGUCUAGGGUUACAUAAAAAAUAACCUCUGCUAUUAGGUUUCUACCAUGUCUUCCCCAAAUGAUGGACUCUAAUUUUUAAGCCAAAUAAUCCUUUUCCUCCCUAGGUUGCUUUUGGUCACUGUGUCAACACAGCAAUGAAAACCUAGAACAAUAAAUAUGUUUUAAAAAUGUACAUGGAGAUAUUCAAGACCAUGAGCUCUGGCACUAAGACUGUAAGACUAUGGCAAUCAAAUACAGUUGGCAGAACUUGGCAAACCCCAGAAGACAAGCAAAGUAUGAAUGGUCACUUUAAGCAAAAACUGAAGAGAAGAAAAGAGGCCAGAUGUUAGAUCCUAUGGAGUAACAUACAGUUGAGAGCCACUAUGUUGGGUGCUGGUAAUGGAACCCCGGUUCUCUGCUGACCAGGCACUAAUCUGAGCCACUGCACAAACUCUCCAGCCCCCAAAAUGAAUAUUUUCAUCAAAUGCUAGAAUUAUGAAACUGGGGCAAAUCACUUCAGGAAAGUACAGCAGGACUCAAGGCAGGAUGCACGAGCACGUGUUCAUGGUGAUCUGGUACAGUGACAUUAUUUUUGUGAAAAUACCUUUUACAUUCUAAGAGACUGGAAUGUUCGCUGGCCCUCACAGACAAGUUAAUAAUACCCAUGGAGGUCAUUUAUGAUCAACGAUAUGCUGGAAUGAAACAAGCAUGCAAAGCAACUGCAUCAAACCAAGAUUUAAGGGAAGAAACACAGGGGACAGACAGCAGCACUCACCUCUGUUUCAAAAGUGAACUAAGCAAAAACUGGAGGGAUGCAUGGGCAUCGUUCAGAAGACCCAAGCUGGGUCUCAGUGCUCUCACGGCAGCUCUCAUCCACCAGUCGCACCAGUCUUUUCUGGCCUUCUUGGGAACCAGGCAGCUACAUUUACAAUGCUCUUAAAUUACUCAUUUGUAGGCAAAACAUUCAUACACAUAGAUAGAUAGACAGACAGACAGACAGACAGACAGACAGACAGAUAGAUAGAUAACCUUAUUUUAAGAAGGAAACUAGGCAUAGAGGCUAUGGCAGGAAGAGAUCCAGGCUGGCCAAAGUUAUAAUGUGAGAAGCACUCUCCAAAAGUAAAAAAUAAAGAAGAAAAGACAGCAAAGACCUCACUACUUUUAUUCUAAGCAAACUCUAAAUUUUUCUACUAAAGCUCAAAUAAAAAUUUUACCAUUUACUUUGAGUUAUUAAACUUUUCUGCUUCUCUUUAUGGGAAAUUUGGAGAAAGAUAACUUCUAGUAUCUUGAACAUUUGUUUGUUUGGGUUUUGUUUGUUUUUUGAGGGUUUUUGAUGUCAUUACAUUGUAGUUGAUUAUUAAAUUGCUAGACUUGAAAUUUUGUGUUUGGUUAAUAAAA
Molecule: long non-coding RNA, 1911 nt
Organism: Rattus norvegicus (Norway rat)
Lineage: Eukaryota; Metazoa; Chordata; Mammalia; Rodentia; Muridae
Source: RefSeq, a predicted model, not a curated record